CCAGAAUAUGUUUGGCCCUAGCUCUAUCUCAUCUCAUCUCUUCGGUUCCACGGAGAUCUCUUCCACGACUCAUCUCUUGCCUUUUCCCCUUCUCGAACGGAUCGAUCAAUAAGACGUGGUAUCCUCCUCCGAGCCGAUCAAACUGGAGUCUCUCUCGAUACAGCUGCCUCCGGCGAUUCGAAGUAUAAGAAGCAAGACGACAAAGUUAUGUUUGAUAUGUUUAAUUUCUUUUGCACCUUUUUUUAGUAUCUUUGUGGUUUUUUCCCUCAGUUAUGUUUGAUAUGUUUACUGAUUCGGAAUUUGGUCUGAUUCUACGCUUCUGGUUUGAUAGAUGAGCAAAUAAAUGAAUCAGAACCAUUGAUUCGAUCGAGUGGAGGCAGAGCGUCUGAAGCUUUGACGGAGGCGAGAAAAAACUUUUGUCUUAGAGAGUUUAAGAGUUCCAGGGGAACAGGUUUAAGAUGAUAAAGGCAAGGAUGAUGAUGAAGAAUCAAGGCAAGCCAAAUUGUACCAUGAUAUUUCUUCGUUUCUUUGAAAUUUUAGUUUCUUAGACGGACUACUGUGACCUAUUCUCAACUUAAGCAACAAACUUUCAGAGUCAUCGAGUCAGUCAUGGAAUCUGCUGCCAAGAAAAAGCAAAGAAAUACUUUUUUGUACUGAGGCUUGCUCAUAUAAGACAACAGUAUGUCUAAAUGUUCGUCGAACUUGAGGGGUGGAUGGAUAUAAGGUUUUUAAUCCUUAAUAGCUGUGGGAUGCUGUACCGUUACUGAAAAGCUAUGGGAGAAGGGCUCCAUCAGGAGGAUAGCGUGUUGAGGAAGGCGGUAGGGAAAACGAAAAAAAGGGUGGUGAAGUAACAGAGAAUCUCCUGGACAUUGACCCGCUAGGAAACAUGGUUAGAAAUGAUAUUCAAGUGUAGAAUAAUAAAGAAAGAAAAACUUCAAAGGAUAAGGAAGAGUAGAAGACCAUGCCAAGUGGACCACCAAUAUUGUUGAUGAGAAGGUCGAUAUGUUUGCCUUUGGUGUAUUGGUUCUAGAAGUCAUAACCAGUCAUAGAGCUGUUUGAUACAACAUAAGCCAUGUCGGCGGUGGUUGUGAAUGCGUGCUAUUUCAGGAUCACACAGCCCCCUCAUACCUAAACGAACUCAUCUGCCACAGGCAAUUCCUAAUGGAGUGAGUAGAAUCAAUCAAAUAAAAAUUGAUGUCUGGUAACUAAUGUGCUUAUGUCUUGCCUUAGUCACCCUUGACUGAGUUUUGUUUCUUAAUAUUCUUUAUUGGUUGCUUCUUUUAUUUCGUUAACCAAACGGUGAAUAUCACCUAGAUGUGUCUCUAUGUUGUUUUACUGAUCUUUGUUUAGGCUCAAACCCCGAAGGAGUUGUCAAUAUUCUACAGAGUUCAUUAUAGUUUUAACCUAAGCAUAAAACCCCAGUGGACAAAGAAACUCCCAGAUUAAAAAGUGUUAAAUAUAUGGACCUUAUUAGCAACAAGCUCUGCUUCCUUAUGUGCUCUACAAUCUUUUUUUUUUUAUGUUCGUUCAUCUUAGGAAAAAUAUAAAUUUAUUUUUGCUUUGUACAUGGUAAAUUAUGAAUUCUGGAGAUAUUAUCAUUAAUGAAACUUUGGGGCUGAUAGUGGGUGUGAUUGGCUAUUGCUGUAGUUGCUCUCCACAGCCACAGUUAUACCCACAGCUCUAAAUCUACACCAAUCUUGAUUUAUAUUUUUUUUAAAGCUCACAGCCCUUUGUUUAGUCCACAGCACUUCUUUAAAUUUAUGUGUUUAUAAUUGCUCUGCAGAGAUAAAUUCCUACAGCCCAAAUUUAAAGACUUUUAAAAGUUAAAAAUCUAGAGCCAAAGCCAAAAAAGUCACAGCAAUAUUACUACAGCCAAAAAAAGAAAUCAUAGUUCUUACCAAUCACACCCAGUGUGUUUAAAUACAGAUGCACAUCGAUAACAUUUACAAUUUUUUAAAAAAUUCUACUUUGUUUCUCAGUUUUCUGAAUUCAUUUUUAAAACUGUUUCCAAAACAACUGAGAUUUGUUUCUAUUCUCACGUUUGUUAUAUUAUCUUCUACACAAUCAAUACCCAUGACUAAUACAUCUACACGUGUGUGAUGCAUUAAUUACAUUUGCAUGAAUUUUCAUCAGCAUGCCUU
Long non-coding RNA from Brassica napus (rape), 2141 nucleotides. RefSeq lists it as uncharacterized. The record is from RefSeq and is a predicted model, not a curated record. Lineage: Eukaryota; Viridiplantae; Streptophyta; Magnoliopsida; Brassicales; Brassicaceae. The transcript is spliced from 3 exons.